Molecule: ribosomal RNA, 253 nt
Filed under: uncultured bacterium
Lineage: Bacteria
Description: partial 16S ribosomal RNA
Rfam family: Bacterial small subunit ribosomal RNA
Source: RNAcentral
GACGAACCGUACGAACGUUAUUCGGAAUUACUGGGCUUAAAGGGUGCGUAGGCGGCGCAGUAAGUUGGGUGUGAAAUCCCUCGGCUUAACCGAGGAAUUGCGCCCAAAACUACUGUGCUCGAGGGAGAUAGAGGUGAGCGGAACUUAGGGUGGAGCGGUGAAAUGCGUUGAUAUCCUAAGGAACACCGGUGGCGAAAGCGAGCUGCUGGACCUCUGCUGACGCUGAGGCGCGAAAGCCAGGGGAGCAAACGGG